UCUUCUCUCUGUGCCCUUGAGCAGUGGCAUCCUGAUCUAGGUCAGUACAGAAGCUGCUGGAUGCUGUGGACACUUACUUACAUCCCAGUGCUCAGCAGGGCUUGAAGAAGCCCUUUGUGCUACCUGUAGUCCAUUUACUCUGUUCCUGGCUGGAACAUAGUGGUGACAGGUACACUAGAGCAUGGCAUUUUGAAGUGUGAGCUGCUGGGAGAUAGCAAGAACAUUAGCACUGUGCUGAGAGGGACAGAGACCUUCCACAUAUAUGCCUGAGUUCCUGGAGAGGACUUAGGCAGGGGAUAACCUGGGUGCUCUGGUAUAAGGUUAAAAAUGGAAAGCUUCAAGGCAUGGUUUGCUCAUGGUUAAGCCAGAGUCUAUCCAACCACACCAAAGGGUGGAUGUCCAGCUUUACAUCCUAGGCAAGGAGGAGGGUGUCUUAUUUUGUGCCUACCAUGUUCUCCCUGACGUGGCACAUGGCCUAUCAUGUUAUCCAGGUAAAGAACUUGCCAUGCCUGGAGAGGACCUGAACCUUAGCCUAAGCUUGUGGCAGCCCAUGUUCUUAGAGAAAGGCCGGUGCUUCACCUUGCAGGAUGGCUACAUGGUCACUGGCACUGUUCACUAUUGAAACACCUGCCAUGACAAAGGAGAAAAGAACCUCAAAUGGAGAGGGACUGAACUUCUGCUCACGUUUUUGAUCUUAUGGCUCCCCAAGUCAUAAUUUCCUCCUGUGGACUCAGCUGCAGCAAAGCA
This 747-nucleotide long non-coding RNA is filed under the name Rattus norvegicus (Norway rat). Its description in RNAcentral is "long non-coding RNA NONRATT013037". Lineage: Eukaryota; Metazoa; Chordata; Mammalia; Rodentia; Muridae. The record is from RNAcentral.